RNAcentral lists this ribosomal RNA (456 nucleotides) under uncultured bacterium. RNAcentral's name for it is "bacterial SSU rRNA". It matches the Rfam family "Bacterial small subunit ribosomal RNA", at positions 29 to 476 of the family's 1533-position model. The record is from RNAcentral.
AAUGAACGCUGGCGGCGCGCCUAAUACAUGCAAGUCGAGCGAGAAGACGUAGCAAUACGUUUGUAAAGCGGCGAACGGGUGAGGAAUACAUGGGUAACCUACCCUCGAGUGGGGAAUAACUAGCCGAAAGGUUAGCUAAUACCGCGUACGCUCCUUGGACUUCGGUUCAGGGAGGAAAGCGAUACCGUGGGUAUCGCGCUCUUGGUUGGGCUCAUGUCCUAUCAGCUUGUUGGUGAGGAACGGCUCACCAAGGCUUCGACGGGUAGCUGGUCUGAGAGGACGAUCAGCCACACUGGCACUGCGACACGGGCCAGACUCCUACGGGAGGCAGCAGUGGGGAAUAUUGGACAAUGGGCGCAAGCCUGAUCCAGCGAUGCCGCGUGUGUGAAGAAGGCCUGCGGGUUGUAAAGCACUUUCAGUAGGGAAGAAAGCCGAGUGCUAAUAUCACUCGGUCUU